This 34-nucleotide ribosomal RNA is filed under the name Phyllactinia juglandis. RNAcentral describes it as "partial 18S ribosomal RNA". Lineage: Eukaryota; Fungi; Ascomycota; Leotiomycetes; Helotiales; Erysiphaceae. The record is from RNAcentral.
CUUUCCCGUAGGAGAACCUGCGGAAGGAUCAUUA